AGAACUACCUGAAUGCCCGAAUAAAUAAUAGUCCUCUCCCGAGGAUAAGGAAUUCUUAGCAGCACCGUUUCAUGGAAGCCACUUCGGAGAAUCCGGUCGAACGACUCGAUCAUAGGCUUGCCGAGAUGAAUAUAGAAGUUGCCAGAUCGUAAGAAGUUCAAAGGAAAACAAAUGAAAAUAAAAAAUACAUUUAUACGACGAGUUGGAUGUAUGUAUGCUACAAAAUAAAAUAUACUUGUUGAUCUGAAGGUGGAUGCAUAUUUAAUUGAUACUGCCUUUUAUAACAUCCUUUUUCCUGCAAACGAUGGUUUCCUUUAUCGAGCGUCCGUGUGUACUAAACACAAACGAAGGAUCUUCAGCAAUCUUAAGUAAAAAGCUAAUAAAACUUACAAAGAUUAUUCCUGGCA
RNAcentral lists this long non-coding RNA (407 nucleotides) under Polistes fuscatus (common paper wasp). Its description in RNAcentral is "uncharacterized LOC122518236". Lineage: Eukaryota; Metazoa; Arthropoda; Insecta; Hymenoptera; Vespidae. The record is from RNAcentral.